RNAcentral lists this ribosomal RNA (433 nucleotides) under uncultured bacterium. RNAcentral's name for it is "partial 16S ribosomal RNA". It matches the Rfam family "Bacterial small subunit ribosomal RNA", at positions 29 to 507 of the family's 1533-position model. The record is from RNAcentral.
AACGAACGCUGGCGGCAUGCCUAACACAUGCAAGUCGAACGAGACCUUCGGGUCUAGUGGCGCACGGGUGCGUAACGCGUGGGAACCUGCCCUUAGGUUCGGAAUAACUCCCCGAAAGGGGUGCUAAUACCGGAUAAUGUCUUCGGACCAAAGAUUUAUCGCCUUUGGAUGGGCCCGCGUUGGUUUAGCUAGUUGGUAGGGUAAAAGCCUACCAAGGCGACGAUCCAUAGCUGGUCUGAGAGGAUGAUCAGCCACACUGGGACUGAGACACGGCCCAGACUCCUACGGGAGGCAGCAGUGGGGAAUAUUGGACAAUGGGCGAAAGUCUGAUCCAGCAAUGCCGCGUGAGUGAUGAAGGCCUUAGGGUUGUAAAGCUCUUUUACCCGGGAUGAUAAUGACAGUACCGGGAGAAUAAGCACCGGCUAACUCCGUG